Molecule: non-coding RNA, 30 nt
Filed under: Homo sapiens (human)
Lineage: Eukaryota; Metazoa; Chordata; Mammalia; Primates; Hominidae
Source: RNAcentral
UCUCAGGCUCCCCGAACUUGGCCUCACUGC